Neocucurbitaria cava is the source of this 95-nucleotide non-coding RNA. The record is from the annotation of a GenBank genome assembly. Lineage: Eukaryota; Fungi; Ascomycota; Dothideomycetes; Pleosporales; Cucurbitariaceae.
UCCUCCGUGGCGCAAUUGGCUAGCGCGUUCGACUGUUAAACGCAUAGCGUGUGUGGCAAAUCGAGAGGUUGAAAGUUCGAGCCUUUCCGGGGGAG